Molecule: non-coding RNA, 450 nt
Organism: Esox lucius (northern pike)
Lineage: Eukaryota; Metazoa; Chordata; Actinopteri; Esociformes; Esocidae
Source: the annotation of a RefSeq genome assembly
AUGUUGCUGCUUUCUUCAUUUGUUCUCCUUUCAGUCCUUAUUGGUGUCAGUGGUGGAGAUGACAUUAGUCCCACCAAUCCUGAGGUGUUUGUUGAGGAGGGUGAUACUGUCAUAUUAUCCUGUCGCUACACUGGCUCAGUAAACAAUCUCCAGUGGUAUCGCCAGUAUCCCAGGUCUAAACCAGAGUUCCUGAUUCUCAUCACUAAGUCAGGAUAUGUCCAGAAACCUGUCCCCCCUCGCAUGUCAGCUCAGGUCCAUACUGACAGUGUGGAUCUGGAGAUCUCCUCUGCUGAAGAGACAGACUCUGCUCUGUACUACUGUGCCCUGCAGCCCACAGUGACAGGAAACCCUGAAGCACUGCCAGGUAAAAUGAGUGAAGAGAAAAGCCAAGUGGAUCUGAUGAUCUCCUCAGCUGAAGUGACAGACUCUGCUCUGUACUACUGUGCUGUG